This 71-nucleotide transfer RNA is filed under the name Clytia hemisphaerica. RNAcentral describes it as "tRNA-Undet for anticodon ???". It matches the Rfam family "tRNA". From Rfam's summary of the family: Transfer RNA (tRNA) molecules are approximately 80 nucleotides in length. Their secondary structure includes four short double-helical elements and three loops (D, anti-codon, and T loops). Lineage: Eukaryota; Metazoa; Cnidaria; Hydrozoa; Leptothecata; Clytiidae. The record is from Rfam by way of RNAcentral.
GCCCGGCUAGCUCAGUCGGUAGAGCAUGAGACUCUUAUCUCAGGGUCGUGGGUUCGAGCCCACGUUGGGCG